UACGUAGGUGGCAAGCGUUGUCCGGAUUUACUGGGUGUAAAGGGCGUGCAGCCGGGCUGACAAGUCAGAUGUGAAAUCCCGCGGCUUAACCGCGGAACUGCAUUUGAAACUGUUGGUCUUGAGUAUCGGAGAGGCAGGCGGAAUUCCUAGUGUAGCGGUGAAAUGCGUAGAGAUUAGGAAGAACACCAGUGGCGAAGGCGAUUCUCUGGACUGUAACUGACGCUGAGGCUCGAAAGCGUGGGGAGCAAACAGG
RNAcentral lists this ribosomal RNA (253 nucleotides) under uncultured bacterium. RNAcentral describes it as "partial 16S ribosomal RNA". It matches the Rfam family "Bacterial small subunit ribosomal RNA", at positions 524 to 776 of the family's 1533-position model. The record is from RNAcentral.